Bos taurus (domestic cattle) is the source of this 1868-nucleotide long non-coding RNA. The record is from Ensembl. Lineage: Eukaryota; Metazoa; Chordata; Mammalia; Artiodactyla; Bovidae.
UGCAGCUUUAUUUUCAAAAGGAGCUUUUAUACCCUGAGUUACACAUUUCCAGAAGUGAAAGAUGCAGAGUCAUGCAGAGUCAGCUCAACAUUCCAUCAGUUUUGACCUUUAUUGAAACCAGGAUGUUUUCUGCAUACCUUUCCAUUUACAAGGGUCUUAUGUUAUGUACAUUAUCUUCUGACCCGGAGGCCUGUUGACAUUUUAUGACCCUUUUCUGAUAAAGGUUGGUCAACCAGAGAACUUAUUUUCCUUUAAAGUGUUUUUUCUUUAUUUUUCCAAUCUGUGUCACCCCCAGAAAGUACUAAAUAAAGUUACAUUCUUAUGGAGCAAAGGUGCAGUGGGUUACAAAAAGAAAGAACUUAUUAACUCAAAGGUCUUACAUUGCUAAUGCCAAGGCUACUACUUGUUUUUCCUACAUUCCAACUAUAUUAACUAAUGCACUCCCAGGCACACAAUAGAUAAGGGAUAUGGAAGCUUGGCAGCGAGCAUUGGCUCAACAGUGGAACCCUUCACCAGUACUGUUCUAAUAAUUUUGCACCCCUCGAAGGGCUCUAUGCCCAUUAGGACUUUUAGAAUGCUUAGGCUUCCCGUGCCUUUCAUGGUUGGGAUGUUGUGAACAAUCAUGUGCGUUAGUUGCAAGAGUGUGGAUAAACCUGUCAAGCAAGCUAAAAUGCCAAUAGAGGGGUUUGAAUUGAAAUACUCCUUUCGUGCCCAGGAGACUUAUUAACUAGAGCCCUAAGUUGAUUUUCUUCAGAGAAUAGUGGUCGGGGACAGACGCCUGUUAAUGUCAAAAGAGUUGGUGAAAGGCAUAAUAUAGGUAACAAUAGACAGACAGAUUUUGGUUUCAGGGUAGAUGCUCGAGCAGGUCCAGGGAGUCCCUCGAGUCCUGAUCCGCCUUGCCUGUCAGGUCUCCUCCUCAUGACCUUGUCAUUGGUGGGGUCUCCUGUGCUGGCUCCUGGCAAUUAUGAUCCACACAAAGGCUUUGGCAUAAUCAGUAAAGCAGAAAUAGAUGUUUUUCUGGAACUCUCUUGCUUUUUUGAUGAUCCAGGGAUGUUGACAAUUUGAUCUCUGUUCCUCUGCCUUUUCUAAAACCAGCUUGAACAUCUGGAAGUUCACAGUUCACGUAUUGCUGAAGCCUGGCUUGGAGAAUUUUAAGCAUUGCUCUAUUAGCGUGUGAGAUGAGUGCAAUUGUGCAGUAGUUCGAGCAUUCUUUGGCAUUACCUUUCUCUGGGAUUGGAAUGAAAAUUGACCUUUUCCAGGCCUGUGGCCAUUGCUGAGUUUUCCAAAUGUGCUGGCAUAUUGAGUGCAGCACUUUCACAGCAUCAUCUGUUAGGAUUUGAAAUAGCUCAACCGGAAUUCCAUCACCUCCGUGAACUUUGUUCGUAGUGAUGCUUCCUAAGGCCCACCUGACUUUUCCUUAAUUUAAUCACACCCACAAAUUCUCUUUUUCCAUGUCAAGUAACAUAAUCACAAACUCCAGGGACCCAGAUGUGGGCAUCUUUGGGGAAGCAUUAGUCUAUCACAGCCAGUCUCCCCAGUGAACACAUUUCCGCAAGCAUAUCAGUCAGUGGUGGCUGCUCCAUUCUGAAAGUGAUCCAGGUGAAAGCAAGUUCCAGAUUCUACCAAGAUGCUCCUCUAGCAGGUCAGCCUCUGCAGCUACCCAGGAGGACAGGAGGAGAUGGAGAUGGAGCAUCCUGGUCACUAGUGGGGCCCACAUGGGGAGGUUGGGGCUUGGACAGCAAGAUCUUUAAGUAUUACUGUCCUCUCUCACACAUUCAUGAGUUUACAUGAGCUUACUUAAAGGGUAGACUGGCUUCAAAUACAGGCCAGGUGAUGCUAACCAAGCCCCAAUGGCCUCCUCUCAUACU